CGCAAGGCGGCGGCGUGUCCCAUCCUUCCCCUCUCCGCCGCCGGCCUCGGCCAAGGCGCCAGCCUCAAGGAAGCGUCGGCUGCGGCGCCUCCCACCUCAGAUUCGGUUUGCCGUCCUCUGCAAUGGCCCGAGGUCGUGCGCCGCCGGAUCCACAAACGGGCAUUUCUUCAGCACGCACCGUCAAGUGCCUACUGUGCGCCAGGAACGCGAGUGACGGCGCCGGGCCGGGCCAGGGAACCAGCGCUUGACGGACACUUCCAGUAGUGCUCCCUAAUUGGGGUCGGUUUUCACCGGCCUGGCUGAUUGAGCCCUCCCUCGUGCAGACGUUCUGAGGACCUUUUGUGUGCCAGCUCGUGUCAUGCGCCCGGGGAGGGGAAACGCUGAGUUUAACCCCCAGGAGCUCCUGUUUUCCUGAGAGAGAGGACAGUAAACUGAUGAGAAUGACCCUAGGAGUCACUAUAAGAUUUGGAUCCCUCUGGCUGCAUGUGGGAAAUGGACUCAGACCGUGCAGGAGACCAAGGAGGAGGUGACUGCAGUAGUCCAGGAAACCACUGAGCACAUAAACAGAGAGACUUUCCAAAAGGGAAGUGGUUACAGAGAUGAUGGAGGCACCCAGAAGCCAAGCAAGAAACUGCAAAGAAGCUCAGAGAUUUGCAGCAACAGAAAGCCAUUGCCACCUCUAAGCUGGAGGGACCGAGGGAGCAGGAAAAGUUACAGGAGCCUGGGGCCUGGUCACUUAAGCCCAGUGGACUGUCUUGCAGGAGCUGGAGUCAUGGAGGAGACUCAGUCGUUGAUAGAGAUGAGAUAUGGAAAGAACUUAACCACAACCUUAAAAAAGAAUAGGAAAGAGGAGACUUCCCUAUCAGCAUUGUUAAAAGGCAAUCAUACACUAUUAUAAUAAGAACAGUGGGGUGCUAUUGCAAGGCAAAGCAGACCAGUGAGGCAAAGCAGUGGUGCUGGAGCAGCCCACAG
Pteropus alecto (black flying fox) is the source of this 972-nucleotide long non-coding RNA. RefSeq lists it as uncharacterized. Lineage: Eukaryota; Metazoa; Chordata; Mammalia; Chiroptera; Pteropodidae. The record is from RefSeq and is a predicted model, not a curated record. The transcript is spliced from 3 exons.